Molecule: ribosomal RNA, 235 nt
Filed under: uncultured Candidatus Saccharibacteria bacterium
Lineage: Bacteria; Candidatus Saccharimonadota
Description: partial 16S ribosomal RNA
Rfam family: Bacterial small subunit ribosomal RNA
Source: RNAcentral
AAGUGAAUAGUGAAAUCUGGAGGCUCAACCUCACAGGCUAUUAUUCAAACUCACAGACUCGAGAAUGGUAGAGGUAACUGGAAUUUCUUGUGUAGGAGUGAAAUCCGUAGAUAUAAGAAGGAACACCAAUGGCGUAGGCAGGUUACUGGACCAUUUCUGACACUGAGGCACGAAAGCGUGGGGAGCGAACCGGAUUAGAUACCCGGGUAGUCCACGCCGUAAACUAUGGAUACUA